UACACUGUAAAAAAUAAUUCAGUGGCUUAGUAAAUUUCACAAAAAUAAAGAGCUAUAUUAACUUAAUAAAAUCUUUUGAAAUCAUUUAAGUGAUAUUUUGAGUGGGUCAGAUUAAAAAUAAUAAUUAAAAAUCCAACAAAUAAUUUCUCUAAAAUUUACAUAUAUUAUUUAAGUUUAUGUAAUGAAAAUAAAUAAGUAUUUAACUAACUAAUUAUAUUUUUAAUAUACCUUCAAUAUUUCUGGUGAAUUCUAAUAGAAAUAUUUGAUAAUUAUUUACUUGUACUGAUCUGUUUUAGAAACUAAAAUUAUUAAGUAUUUCCUACCAAUUUUCCUAAAUAAAGUUCCAGCUUAAUAAAUGAAAGUUUAAAUAAAUUGAGUAAAUUUCGCGGCUAAAGUGAUCACGUGUGCAGCUCCGCAGGAAAAAAAAAAAACUGCUUUCCUCAGCAGCGACGUCGACUAGCCAUACACCUCACAACUCCUGUUUCGUAGCUUAAUCGAAGUCACCUGAAGGACGGCUUUCCUCAGCAACGGCAAGGCCCGCACUCCUCUCAUAUUGUGAAGUUUAACAAGUUUCGCGGCUCAAACAAGAGGCACCUGUCACUGAAGGACUGCUUUUCUCAGCUACGACGUGAACAGCAUCACUCGAAUUUCCUGGUUCAGCUGAUCUACCCAUCUUCGUACAAGCAGAGUUGGCAGAGGAGGUCAUAAAAAUCUACAUCCUUCGGGACAAUGAUGGGGCAGUCAGCGAUGUAAUCUUGGGAAUCACAGCAGAGCCUGCUGCCAUCUUUUGGGAGUCACAUUGGACUUGAGAUAUCCCAAGACCCACAAAUACAGGUCCUUCUCCAAAAAUU
This is a long non-coding RNA of Carassius gibelio (silver crucian carp), 851 nucleotides long. RefSeq lists it as uncharacterized. The record is from RefSeq and is a predicted model, not a curated record. The transcript is spliced from 4 exons. NCBI's taxonomy places the organism in Eukaryota, Metazoa, Chordata, Actinopteri, Cypriniformes, Cyprinidae.